Molecule: ribosomal RNA, 117 nt
Filed under: Rodentolepis nana
Lineage: Eukaryota; Metazoa; Platyhelminthes; Cestoda; Cyclophyllidea; Hymenolepididae
Source: RNAcentral
GUCAGCGACCAUACCACGUCGAAAGCACCGGUUCUUGUCCGAUCCCUGAAGGUAAACCACGUUGGGCCGGGUUAAUACUUGCAUUAGUGACCGGCUGAGAAGUGCGAUAGACUUACC